This 400-nucleotide ribosomal RNA is filed under the name uncultured bacterium. Its description in RNAcentral is "bacterial SSU rRNA". It matches the Rfam family "Bacterial small subunit ribosomal RNA", at positions 355 to 772 of the family's 1533-position model. The record is from RNAcentral.
UUAGGAAUAUUGGACAAUGGACGCAAGUCUGAUCCAGCCAUGCCGCGUGAGCGAUGAAGGCCUUCGGGUUGUAAAGCUCUUUAGUCCGGGAAGAUAAUGACGGUACCGGAAGAAUAAGCCCCGGCUAACUUCGUGCCAGCAGCCGCGGUAAUACGAAGGGGGCGAGCGUUGUUCGGAAUUACUGGGCGUAAAGCGUAUGUAGGCGGCUUUGUAAGUUAGAAGUGAAAGCCCAGGGCUCAACCUUGGAACUGCUUUUAAAACUGCAGAGCUCGAAUGUGGGAGAGGAUAGCGGAAUUUCCAGUGUAGAGGUGAAAUUCGUAGAUAUUGGAAAGAACACCAGUGGCGAAGGCGGCUAUCUGGACCACAAUUGACGCUGAGAUACGAAAGCGUGGGGAUCAAA